RNAcentral lists this ribosomal RNA (778 nucleotides) under uncultured Neocallimastigales. Its description in RNAcentral is "partial large subunit ribosomal RNA". It matches the Rfam family "Eukaryotic large subunit ribosomal RNA", at positions 26 to 644 of the family's 3401-position model. Lineage: Eukaryota; Fungi; Neocallimastigomycota; Neocallimastigomycetes; Neocallimastigales. The record is from RNAcentral.
CGUCUAUAUACGUAUAGCAUAUCAAUAAGCGGAGGAAAAGAAACUAACAAGGAUUCCCCUAGUAACGGCGAGUGAAGCGGGAAGAGCUCAAAUUUGAAAUCUUCAAGGGUUUCCCUUGACGAAUUGUAGUUUAAAGAAGUGUUUUCUGUUAGAGAGGUGGUAAAAGUUCUUUGGAAUAGGACAUCAUAGAGGGUGAGAAUCCCGUAUUUGAUCACUUUCUACUAACGUUGUGAUACACUUUCAAAGAGUCGGAUUGUUUGGGAAUGCAGUCCAAAAUGGGUGGUAAAUUUCAUCUAAAGCUAAAUAUUGGCGAGAGACCGAUAGCGAACAAGUACCGUGAGGGAAAGAUGAAAAGAACUUUGAAAAGAGAGUUAAACAGUACGUGAAAUUGUCAAAAGGGAAGCGUUUGACACCAGUGUUGUUUUUCCGAAAAUCAAUUACGAAUGUUUUGUUUUUAAGAAGUUAUGACUUCAUCGGCUUGCUUCUUUCUUUACGAAACUUUCUUAAUGCACUUUUCGGUUAACAAGUCAACAUCAAUUUCUUUUGUUGUAAAAGGGGUAUGAGGAAGGUGGCUUUCUUUUCGGAGAAAGUGUUUAUAGCCUUGUAGCCUCUGCAAUCGGAGAGAUUGAGGUCUGCAGCGUAGAUCCUUCGGGGUUAGAUACAUUGGUGCUAAGUUAUAGCUCUGUCAUAAACAACUUGUUGACUAUGUUAGUCAUUGUAGCUUACUCGCUGAUGCUAUUUUACCUACGCUUAGGAUGUUGAUAGUCACAGCGUGUAC